RNAcentral lists this ribosomal RNA (497 nucleotides) under uncultured bacterium. RNAcentral's name for it is "partial 16S ribosomal RNA". It matches the Rfam family "Bacterial small subunit ribosomal RNA", at positions 28 to 507 of the family's 1533-position model. The record is from RNAcentral.
GAUGAACGCUGGCGGCGUGCCUAAUACAUGCAAGUCGAGCGAACAGAUGGGGAGCUUGCUCCUCUGACGUUUGCGGCGGACGGGUGAGUCACACGUGGAUCCCCUCCCUAUACGACUGAGAUAACUUCGAGACACCGGAGCUAAUACCGGAUAAUAUAUUGAACCAUGUGGUUCGCUAGUGAGAGACAGUUUUGCUAUCACUUAUAGAUGCAUCCGCGCAGUAUUUGCUAGUUGGUAAGGUAACGGCUUACCAAGGCAACGAUGAGUAGCCGACCUGAGAGGGGGAUCGGCCACACUGGAACUGAGACACGGUCCAGACUCCUACGGGAGGCAGCAGUAGGGAAUCUUCGGCAAUGGGCGAAAGCCUGACGGAGCAACGCCGCGUGAUGGAUGAAGUUUUUCGGAUCUAAAAACUCGGUUAUUAGGGAAGAACAAAUGGGUAAGUAACUAUGCACGUCGUGACGGUACCUUAUCAGAAAGCCACGGCUAACUACGUG